This 437-nucleotide ribosomal RNA is filed under the name uncultured archaeon. Its description in RNAcentral is "bacterial SSU rRNA". It matches the Rfam family "Archaeal small subunit ribosomal RNA", at positions 441 to 879 of the family's 1478-position model. The record is from RNAcentral.
GGUGGGAAAGACUGGUGCCAGCAGCCGCGGUAACACCAGCGCCACGAGUGGCGAUCGCGAUUAUUGGGUCUAAAGCGUCCGUAGCCGGUUUGAUAAGUCUUUUGUGCCCCUGUUGUCCUAAAUUCACCAGCGUGCAAAAGAUACUGUCAGACUUGGAACUGGGAGGAGUAAGGAGUAUUCCAAGGGGAGCGGUAAAAUGCUAUAAUCCUUGGAGGACUACCUGUGGCGAAAGCGCCUUACUAGAACAGCUUCGACGGUGAGGGACGAAAGCCAGGGGAGCAAACCGGAUUAGAUACCCGAGUACUCCUGUCCAUAAACGCCGUGAGCAAGAUGUUGCACAUUUUUCGUGAAUGUGCAGUGUCGAAGAGAAGUCGUUAAGCUCACCACCUGGGAAGUAUGGUCCCAAGGCUGAAACUUAAAGGUUUCCGGGGGAGCAC